This 573-nucleotide small RNA is filed under the name Vigna angularis var. angularis. RNAcentral's name for it is "Non-protein coding transcript". Lineage: Eukaryota; Viridiplantae; Streptophyta; Magnoliopsida; Fabales; Fabaceae. The record is from RNAcentral.
GGUUCCCCCCGGAAGCCGUUUUUCUCCGGUUUCACUCACUGGCAUAUCCUUCUCACGCGCUCCUUUCACGUUGAGGUGCUCUUCCCUAAAAAAUUCUUCCCAUCGAACAAAGUUUGAAGAGGCUGCAAAGAAGGCGAAUUUGAUUCCUCUCUAUCAGUGCAUUUUCUCCGACCACCUUACUCCGGUCGUUGCUCACCAGAUUUUGCUUGAAGACGAUGAUAGGGAGGCUCCAAGCUUUCUCUUUGAGUCUGAUGAAUUAAGUUGUGAUGUGGGGCGCUAUAGUGUUGUUGGAGCUCAUCCUGCAAUGGAGGUUCUGGCAAAAGAAAACAAGGUUGCGAUUAUUGAUCAUGUAGCUGGAACUUUAUCUGAUAAAACGGUUGAUGAUCCUAUCAUGAUUCCGAGAGAAAUCUCAGAGGGUUGGAAACCCUAUCUAAUAGAUGAACUUCCUGAUGCAUUUUGUGGUGGUUGGGCAGGUUUUUUCUCAUACGAUACAGUUCGUUAUGUGGAAAAGAAAAAACUAUCAUUUUUAAAUGCUCCAUCGAAUGAUAAGAACUUUUGGGACAUGCAUCUGGG